UAACACUGAGACAUUAUAUUAAUUAUGAAUAUAAAAGUUGAGGCUGGGCGCGGUGGCUCACGCCUGUGGUCCCAGCACUUUGGGAGGCCGAGGUGGGCGGAUCAUGAGGUCAGGAGAUCGAGACCAUCCUGGCUGACGUGGUGAGACCCCGUCUCUACUAAAAAUACAAAAAAAAAAAAAUUAGCCGGGCAUGGUGGCAGGCGCCUGUAGUUCCAGCUACUCGGGAGGCUGAGGCAGGAGAAUGGCGUGAA
Molecule: long non-coding RNA, 251 nt
Filed under: Homo sapiens (human)
Lineage: Eukaryota; Metazoa; Chordata; Mammalia; Primates; Hominidae
Description: HSALNT0376009
Source: RNAcentral